UCUAAUGGAGUGAUGUGUGAUGCAUAGAUUUGAAGAACUUGGGACAAAACAUCGCCAGUGUUGUGACCACCAAUGUUCCAGUAAGGGUGGUGAGACAGGUUAAUUGGAGUGGCCUUGUUUAGAGCUCUUGCCUUAAAUACCACGCUAAGUUUGUAAGGAUCUUUCAAUGCAUAGGUAACAGAGACAAGAACAUCACCAGGAAAUCCUACAUAAGAAAGCAAUGGAGUUUACCCGUAAUGUCAUGCUUUUAUCAACAAAAAUAUCUACAAAAAUAUCAUGACAUGUUUUAAAUCACAAGUUAUAAAAGCCUUAGUUCUUAAAUUUCGUAUCCAUAUCCAGUCAACUACGCCACAUGAACUGAAAUAAAGGAUGUAAUUGUCUUGAAUGGAUACGAAGAUUUACCUUCUUCACCAUCAGCACUGUAGUAGGUUAGAGUUAUGUAAGGACUUGGACCAUGUCGCACGUACUUGCUCACCUUCCAGACAACUUUGCUAAAUCCUUUAAGACCACCUAUAUUUUUGAAGUUUUAUUUACAUCAGAGACAGAGAAAGGAAAUUUGGCUAAAGUGAAAGAGAAAGAAAUUGUAAUUAAAAAUAUAGCGAGAGUACCAUGUAACAUGUUUACGCCUUCAUUGGCAACAAGCUUAUAAUGGGUGCCAUUCAAAGUAAAUUGAGCACCACCAAUCCGGUUAGCAACCCUUCCAAGUGCGGCUCCAAAGUAACUCGUAUCAUUCUGCACCAAAUUUUGUUCUUAAGUGAAAACAGACGGAGCUAAAUAUCCUUCAGUAUACUUCACAUCAAUCCAAAAGAUGGGAGGUUUAGGGCCUAGGGGAGAUAUUAUAGGCUUGGGACCCGGUCUUUGUUGAAGGAACUACAAUUAGACAAUGUCAAAUGACUAUGGAGACAUUGGCACAAUUCAAGGCAGGAGCGGCUCAACAAAUUUAGUGACUUAAAGUCGAACAUUAUGUGAAGAAGUUUUUAGAAAAGAGCAAGGUUGGGAUAGACGCAUAGAGUACAAUGGACAAACAAACGUGAACUAACCUUGUAUUCCUUGAUGGUGUCAUAUCCCAGAACAACAUCGCCUAUUUUUCCUGGAAAGGAUCAACACAAGGUAAAACUGAUUUCUUCAAGGAAUAGCAGAAAACAGUACUGAUAAACACAUCAAGAAGGUUCAAACAAAAGCAGAUUUAAAACAGGACUACGUUUUCUGGAAGAUGGAAUUUUUUUAAUUAACCAUUUGAUAUACCCUACUGACUAAUACAGAUUCGCGACCUAUUGAAGGUGAAUGCUACUACAAUGGCUUUCUUCAUUCAUACGGCUCGAACCCGAGACUUAUGGUUAAGAAGGGUGAUGAAAGAUGGGAUUGAUGAAGAUAGAAGACAGACAGACAUACCAUGCUUAUCAGGAAGAAAAACGGAGAUGAUUGAGGCACCAUAAUUGGUGAUCUUAACAGAGAAAUCUCCUUUCUUGAUCUCAUAUAUCCCUAUCUUGCGCCCUCUAACACUAGCAGCAGCACACAGAUGAAGAAUGAACAAACAGAUCAACAAAUUAAUCUUUGAAGACAUAGUCAGCUCCUGUAUUUUUGAGACUUUAGAGUGUCUUAGUGCAGCUUCUCCAGCCUUGAAUUUAUGCACUCCUCGGAUUCAUCUGGCAUUAUUCUGGAAUUAGAUUAUUACCUGCAUGUGAACAAAAAAGAACUUGUCUGCCUAAAUAAUCUGCGUGUAACCGGGAUAACCCCGUAUAAAAUGGACAAUGAUGAGUCCAGUCUAAGAAUUGACACAGUCAAGUUAGCCGUCUCUAUUAUUUAUGUAUAGUUAACUUCUGAAGUAGCUGUUUGCAUUGACUUGUGAAUACAAAAAAUGGUACCCACGUUGGCGUGAUUCUUAUUCUGGAAAUAAUCAAAACUUUUCCCAUAAUUUGGCAUAAAAUAUAUAUUAAACUCAACCACUUGUUCCUCCAUUUCUUGAACUAGAUCUACUCUGUAAAUACCUCGGAGGUCGUAAAUUUAGAUUUUAAUUGCCCUUCACCAAAAUUAAAACAGAUCAUAGUGUUAUUCAUAUUGUAGUCCUUCGGGUUGUGUUUAGAUUUUGUUUUAAUACUCUGCUUGUUACCCUGUUUCUUUUGCAACUUUGCAUGAUUGCAUCAACAAUUUGGUAGGACAGGAUCAAUGUCAAAAGCAUAUCUUUGGCAGUGGCGAAGCCAGGAAAUUCAACAAGGGUGUUCAAACCUUUGCCAGUGGGCUAUGUAAGGGUGUUCAAAGUCUAUUUUUAAUCAAUAACAAGUAAUAUUUUACCUUAUACGGAGUAUAAUUUUUCGGCGAAGGGUGGUCUUGAUUGAACGUAGCUUCGCCCCUGAUAUUUGGUAAAAACUAUUUAAAGAAAUCUCAACUGAGACUAUUAACAGGACACAAACUUACGAAUUUUAACUGGGUCUAGAAAAAAACUACUCCAUCUGUUUAAAAAAGAUUGACAGUAUUUCCUUAUUAGUCUGUUUUUCAAAAAGACUAACACCUUUCAAUAUUUCCUUAAUAAGAAGCAGUUAUUGUCAUACAAGUGAUAUGACAGGUUUCAGACCACAAGUUUCAAAAGUAUUACAGCCACACAAAUGCUAUGGCUUAUUUAAGACCACAUAUCUCAAAAAUCUUCUUUUGUUAUUAAUAUUUGUGUCAAAUCAAACUAAAACAAUCUCUUUGAAACGGAGGAAGUAUCAAUUAUUCUAAAUGUAGGUGUUUUAUUUGUCACAAAGAACAUAUAAUAGUCAAUUUCAUCCAUGGUCAUUGAACUUUUGUGUUUGUUACCCAAAAGUCACUUUUUUUUUGUUACGUAAAAAUCAUUUAACUUUGUGUUCAUUACUCAAAAGUCUCUAUUCUUUUUUUUGUUACACAAAAAUCAUUUUACUUUGCUCUAGUUAUCAUAAAAGUCACAUUUGCCAGAUUUUAUAAUAUUUUUACUUCAAAAGUCUAUUAUACCCUUGAUAUUAUAUAAAUCUUCCUAUUUAUAUAAUACCUUCUAUAUUAUAUAUUAUAUAAUAUAUUUUUAACCUAGGUAUUUUAUUUAUAACUAAAAUAUUUUAAUAUUAUUUUAUUUAUUUUUUUUAUAAUAUAUACGUACAUUUAAUUUUUCCUUAACUAAUUUAUUUUUACUUUUUACCUGUGUUUUACCCGCCCGAACGUACCAACAAGUUUGAAAUCAUAAAAUGGACUUGCUCGAACCCUCGGAAUGCGUAAAACAACAUCAAAACUAAGAAUGAUACCCCAAACCAAAUGGAUUCAACUUAGAAUUUUGAAAUUCUUCAAACUCACUUCGAACACGCCGAAACAUACUUAAACUACUCAGAUUAACAACAAAUUUUGCGUGCAACUCUUAAAUCACCAUACGGAACUAUUUCCAGGCUCGAAAUUCCAAACGGACCUCGAUUACUCCAAAACAUACUCAAAACCAAAAUUUAAAUAACUUUAAAACCUUCAAUUAGUCAACUUUCACUGUUAAGCGCCGAAACGCCCCGGGUUGUCCAAAACCCGACCCGAACGUACUCCCAAGUCAAAAAUCAUCAUACGAACCUAUUGAAACCGUCAAAUCUCGAUUCCGGUGUUGUUUCCUAAAAAUGUUGACCGAAGUCAAACUUGAUCUUUUAAAGCCAAACUAAGGAACCAAGUGUUCCGAUUUCAACCAAAACCCUUCUAAAUCCCGAACUAACCAUCCUCGCAAGUCAUAAAACAAUAAAAGCACAUAUGGGGAGUCUUAUUUAGGGGAAUGGGGUUCUAGAAGGUAAAAUGACCGAUUGAGUCGUUACAAGUGGUUAAGAACGUUGACGUGAGAUUUGUUCAUAGUAAAGUUACUUACAAAUUUAAUAACGCUACCAAUAUAUCUUAAAAAUUAACGUUAAGAAAAAAUUAAAUAUACAAAUAUAUUAUAAAAAUAAUAAAUAAAAUAAUAUUAAGUUAUUUUAGUUAUAAAUAAAAUACCUAGGUAAAAAUAUAUUAUAUAGUAUAUACUAUAGAAGGUAUUAUAUAAAUAUGAAGAUUUAUAUAAUAUCAAGGGCAUAAUAGACUUUUUAAGUAAAAAUAUUAUAAAAUCUGGCAAAUGUGACUUUUGUGAUAACUAGAGCAAAGUAAAAUGAUUUUUGUAUAACAAAAGAAAGAAAAAUGACUUUUGAGUAAUGAUCACAAAGUUAAAUGAUUUUUACGUAAAAAAAAAAAAAAAAGGUAGACUUUUGGGUAACAAACACAAAAGUUCAAUCACCAUGGAUAAAAUUAACUCUAACAUAUAACCUUGACAGAAACAUCAAUUUAUGCAGAAGAUACAAAUGCCAGAAGCAUAAUGGAAAUUUUAAAAAAAAAAUAUAAGCAUUGUAGUACUCCUACUUUUUUAUGGAGAACGUAUACAAAACAGAGUGGACGUAUUUCUCUCCCGGAUUUACAAUUGUCGACGGGAAAUUAGGGUGAUUCACAGCGUCAGGGAACACUAGAGUCUCCAAAGACAAUGCUGAAUGAGGUUGAUAAACAAAACCACCUUUCCCUUUUAUAUUAUUAACCCCAUUUGCAGUGUAGAAUUGGACACCAGGUGCAGAUGCUUGUACAUCCAUCACUCUUCCUGAUUUCUUAUCAUAAACUAUUCCCACGGGUUUCAUUUUUUCAUUGCUGUCAAGUACAUAGUUGAUGUCAUAUCCAUUUUUGAGUUUAUUGAUCCUGCUCCCCACUUUACGGGGUUUCAAGAAAUCAUACGGCGUGUUCUUGACGGGGGCAAUUUCGCCUGUGGGAAUGAACUGUUUAUCUACUAGGGUGAUGUGUGAUCCAAAAAUUUGAAGAACUUGGGACAAGACGUCGCCACUGUUGUGUCCACCAAUGUUCCAGUAAGGGUGGUGAGACAGGUUAAUUGGAGUGGCCUUGUUCAGUGCUUUUGCCCUAAAUACCACGCUAAGUUUGUAGGGAUCUUUCAAUGCAUAGGUAACAGAGGCAAGAACAGCACCAGGAAAUCCUACAUAAGAAAACAAUGGAGUUUAUUCAAUUCAUUAGUGUUCUUCAAAAAGAAGUUACUCCAUCAAUUGAAACUGAAUGUGUAAUUGUCUUGUAUGGAAUACCAAGAUUUACC
This 5089-nucleotide long non-coding RNA is filed under the name Nicotiana tabacum (common tobacco). Its description in RNAcentral is "long non-coding RNA (NTAB_LNC019567)". The record is from RNAcentral. Lineage: Eukaryota; Viridiplantae; Streptophyta; Magnoliopsida; Solanales; Solanaceae.